AGUGAACGCUGGCGGUAGGCCUAACACAUGCAAGUCGAACGGCAGCACAGUAAGAGCUUGCUCUUACGGGUGGCGAGUGGCGGACGGGUGAGGAAUACAUCGGAAUCUACUUUUUCGUGGGGGAUAACGUAGGGAAACUUACGCUAAUACCGCAUACGACCUACGGGUGAAAGCAGGGGAUCUUCGGACCUUGCGCGAUUGAAUGAGCCGAUGUCGGAUUAGCUAGUUGGCGGGGUAAAGGCCCACCAAGGCGACGAUCCGUAGCCGGUCUGAGAGGAUGGUCAGCCACAUUGGAACGGAGACACGGUCCAGACUCCUACGGGAGGCAGCAGUGGGGAAUAUUGGACAAUGGGCGCAAGCCUGAUCCAGCCAUACCGCGUGGGUGAAGAAGGCCUUCGGGUUGUAAAGACCUUUUGUUGGGAAAGAAAAGCAGCAGGUUAAUACGCCGCUGUUCUGACGGUACCCAAAGAAUAAGCACCGGCUAACUUCGUG
This 492-nucleotide ribosomal RNA is filed under the name uncultured bacterium. RNAcentral's name for it is "partial 16S ribosomal RNA". It matches the Rfam family "Bacterial small subunit ribosomal RNA", at positions 29 to 507 of the family's 1533-position model. The record is from RNAcentral.